Molecule: small nucleolar RNA, 93 nt
Filed under: Gelatoporia subvermispora B
Lineage: Eukaryota; Fungi; Basidiomycota; Agaricomycetes; Polyporales; Gelatoporiaceae
Source: RNAcentral
UCAAUAUGAUGCACUGUUAAUUCAGUUCUGCUUCCGAAGGGAGAGCAAUCUCCUUGUGGACAACCUUUAUACCAAAACUCUCAAUUCUGAUUU